This 468-nucleotide ribosomal RNA is filed under the name uncultured bacterium. RNAcentral's name for it is "partial 16S ribosomal RNA". It matches the Rfam family "Bacterial small subunit ribosomal RNA", at positions 28 to 507 of the family's 1533-position model. The record is from RNAcentral.
GACGAACGCUGGCGGCGUGCUUAACACAUGCAAGUCGAACGGAAAGGCCCUGCUCUUGUGGGGUGCUCGAGUGGCGAACGGGUGAGUAACACGUGAGUAACCUGCCCUUGACUUUGGGAUAACUUCAGGAAACUGGGGCUAAUACCGGAUAGGAGCUCCUGCUGCACGGUGGGGGUUGGAAAGAUUCGGCGGUGGGGGAUGGACUCGCGGCUUAUCAGCUUGUUGGUGGGGUAGUGGCUUACCAAGGCUUUGACGGGUAGCCGGCCUGAGAGGGUGACCGGCCACCUUGGGACUGAGAUACGGCCCAGACUCCUACGGGAGGCAGCGGUGGGGAAUAUUGCACAAUGGGCGGAAGCCUGAUGCAGCAGCGCCGCGUGCGGGAUGACGGCCUUCGGGUUGUAAACCGCUUUCGCCUGUGACGAAGCGUGAGUGACGGUAAUGGGUAAAGAAGCACCGGCUAACUACGUG